This 253-nucleotide ribosomal RNA is filed under the name uncultured bacterium. Its description in RNAcentral is "partial 16S ribosomal RNA". It matches the Rfam family "Bacterial small subunit ribosomal RNA", at positions 524 to 776 of the family's 1533-position model. The record is from RNAcentral.
UACGAAGGGGGCUAGCGUUGCUCGGAAUCACUGGGCGUAAAGCGCACGUAGGCGGAUCUUUAAGUCUGAUGUGAAAGCCCACGGCUCAACCGUGGAGGGUCAUUGGAAACUGGGGGACUUGAGUGCAGGAGAGAAGAGUGGAAUUCCACGUGUAGCGGUGAAAUGCGUAGAGAUCCGGAGGAACCCCAGAGGCGAAGGCGGCGCUCUGGCUCGCAACUGACGCUCAGACACGACAGCAUGGGGAGCGAACGGG